UACGGGAGGCAGCAGUGGGGAAUAUUGCACAAUGGGCGCAAGCCUGAUGCAGCCAUGCCGCGUGUAUGAAGAAGGCCUUCGGGUUGUAAAGUACUUUCAGCAGUGAGGAAGGUGGGUAUGUUAAUAGCAUACUCAUUUGACGUUAGCUGCAGAAGAAGCACCGGCUAACUCCGUGCCAGCAGCCGCGGUAAUACGGAGGGUGCGAGCGUUAAUCGGAAUUACUGGGCGUAAAGCGCAUGCAGGUGGUUUGUUAAGUCAGAUGUGAAAGCCCGGGGCUCAACCUCGGAAUUGCAUUUGAAACUGGCAAACUAGAGUACUGUAGAGGGGGUAGAAUUUCAGGUGUAGCGGUGAAAUGCGUAGAGAUCUGAAGGAAUACCGGUCGGCGAAGGCGGCCCCCUGGACAGAUACUGACACUCAGAUGCGAAAGCGUGGGGAGCAAACAGGAUUGGAUACCCUGGUAG
This 461-nucleotide ribosomal RNA is filed under the name uncultured bacterium. RNAcentral's name for it is "bacterial SSU rRNA". It matches the Rfam family "Bacterial small subunit ribosomal RNA", at positions 340 to 793 of the family's 1533-position model. The record is from RNAcentral.